RNAcentral lists this ribosomal RNA (392 nucleotides) under uncultured eukaryote. RNAcentral describes it as "SSU rRNA". It matches the Rfam family "Eukaryotic small subunit ribosomal RNA", at positions 567 to 972 of the family's 1831-position model. The record is from RNAcentral.
CCAGCAGCUGCGGUAAUUCCAGCUCCAAUAGCGUAUAUUAAAGUUGUUGCAGUUAAAAAGCUCGUAGUUGGAUUUCUGGUAGGAUGACUGUGCCCUCAGCAGAGCGUGCUCAUGCGUCUUGCCAUCCUUCUGUUAACCUUAGAGAGCUUAAUCGCUCUCUUUGGGGCUCAGAUAUUUUACCUUGAGAAAAUUAGAGUGUUUCAGGCAGGCUAGCGCCGGAAUACAUUAGCAUGGAAUAAUAGAAUAGGACUUUUGCCUCUUCUGUUGGUCAUGGGGUUCGAGUAAUGAUUAAUAGGGAUAGUUGGGGGCAUUAGUACUUCACUGUCAGAGGUGAAAUUCUCGGAUUUGUUAAAGACUAACCUAUGCGAAAGCAUUUGCCAAGGAUGUUUUCA